AUAGAAUAUAAUCAUCCCGACAUAUCACAAGCCUUACCUUUAUGAUACAUAAUACAUUCAAGAAAACAAAAAAAGGCAUCCCCAAGGUUUCUGCCACUUAGCAUCUGAGGUGUUUCGAAUACAUGAUGCACAGGUCAAAUGGAGCAACCUUACCAUUGCACCAAGCCCCGCCCGCACGUAAUACAUUAACAAACAUGCUCAGGCAUGAAAUCAUGAAAAUUAAAGAGAAAGAGAGGUUGAAAAAGAAAUGGUAAAGUAUCCAGAACAACAUGCAGAAAUGUUUUCCAAGCCAAUGGAAAGUCAUGCAGAUCAAUGUAACCAACAAGGUUAACAAAAAAUGAUUAAAUGAUUGAAGGAUUGGAAUUACCACACAGUAUGUCACAAGGAUAUAACCAUAACUGAUGGCCAGCAGACAAAACAAAGAGAAAUUCUUCUGGUUCUGAACUUGAUCUAAUAUAAAAAGGCAUAGGAGCUAUACAGGGAUUAGUCUAAUAGUUCGGUUCUGAGAUUAUGCAAAUGCAUUUUCAGAAGAUCAUGUCAUUAUCUCAUGGGAACUGCAUAUGAUACUAUUUGAAAGUGUACUAAGAGAACCAACCACAUUUGUCAAAUAAAAUAUUAAGCAACAUACACAGCACAUAAAAAUGGGAGCAAAAGUAGAGCUGCCACUGUCAUGAUUUAUAGAAAACAAGGAUGUAAAUGUUAGAAAAACACCACAGCUUCCCAAAUUAAAUGAGAGCAGAAAUAAAAAUGAAAAAAACAAAUUAAAUUAAUUAGCCAAUCGCAACAAUUAGGAGAAAAGUUAUCCAAUGGUGAAGCAGGCAUUUCAGCUAACUUAAUAACAAGAGACAUAAAAGAAUUGCAGAAAAAUAUAGCACAAUAAGAUUCACACAAACUGGUAGUUCAUGUAAAAGAGCCCAUCUAUUUAUGGUCGGGAUUUUGUGAAGGAGAAAAUGUAAAUAUGCGACACAUUCUAGUAUUGAGCAAACAACUCCUGAUUUCUGACAAGCAAAAUACGAACUUUGAGAAUGUCGGUUCUCGAAGUCAAAAUCGUACCUUUAUUGAUACCAUCUUUAUCUCGAAACUAUCAUCAGCCUCCAAAUCAUAUGAAUUCUUCAGGAACAGCAGAAAAAACACAUCAGAAGAAAUUUAAUUACAGUUUUGUAAUUAAAGAAGCCUUAAAAAAAAUAUAAUCUUCAAAAAACAAGAAAUUAGAAGGCAAAAUGGGAAAAGGAAAAAGAGGCUCAAAUUCGUCACUUCCAGAUGUUCCCCGCCAAUUGCUAGAGAAGCUGACAUGCAAAGAAGAAAAGAGCAAUUUUACAAGUCACCCAUCAUCUCAUCAAUAUACAUACAUACACAC
This 1357-nucleotide long non-coding RNA is filed under the name Phoenix dactylifera (date palm). RNAcentral describes it as "long non-coding RNA (PDAC_LNC014934)". Lineage: Eukaryota; Viridiplantae; Streptophyta; Magnoliopsida; Arecales; Arecaceae. The record is from RNAcentral.